CAGGCGGCCUUAGCGCGGUGGUCCCACCUGACCCCAUGCCGAACUCAGAAGUGAAACGCCGUAGCGCCGAUGGUAGUGUGGGGUCUCCCCAUGCGAGAGUAGGGAACUGCCAGGC
RNAcentral lists this ribosomal RNA (115 nucleotides) under Escherichia coli. Lineage: Bacteria; Pseudomonadati; Pseudomonadota; Gammaproteobacteria; Enterobacterales; Enterobacteriaceae. The record is from RNAcentral.